This 908-nucleotide long non-coding RNA is filed under the name Salmo salar (Atlantic salmon). RNAcentral describes it as "lncRNA (ENSSSAG00000117676.1)". The record is from RNAcentral. Lineage: Eukaryota; Metazoa; Chordata; Actinopteri; Salmoniformes; Salmonidae.
UGUAACUAUGUACCAUUCAGAUGUACAACAUGUAACUAUGUACCAUUCAGAUGUACAACAUGUAACUAUGUACCAUUCAGAUGUACAACAUGUAACUAUGUACCAUUCAGAUGUACAACAUGUAACUAUGUACCAUUCAGAUGUACAAUAUGUAACUAUGUACCAUUCAGACGACAGUAUCUCUGGUCUCUCAUAUCAUCUCUGUGCUUCCAGUCAGUGUGUUAAGGUGGGCUGAGUGUUUAGUGAGAGGAGACGACAGUAUCUCUGGUCUCUCAUAUCAUCUCUGUGCUUCCAGUCCGUGUGUUAAGGUGGGCUAAGUGUUUAGUGAGAGACAGUUCCUGUGUAAAUAACAUACAAGCUCCUGUGUUACUACACAGUGGGGAUGUACCCCUCAAAUGGCACCCUAUUCCCUAUAAUAGUGCACUACUUUUGACCAAAGCCACAUACAGUAGGGCACCAUAUAUACCUCCCUUCCUCUUCUCCCUCCCUCUCCUUCUUCUACUUUCUCCCUCUCUCUCCCCCUUCUCCCUCUCUCUCCCCCUUCUCCCUCUCUCUCCCUCCCUCUCCUUCUUCUACUUUCUCCCUCUCUCUCCCCCUUCUCCCUCUCUCUCCCUCUUCUCCCUCUCUCUCCCUCCCUCUCCUUCUUCUACUUUCUCCCUCUCUCUCCCCCUUCUCCCUCUCUCUCCCUCUUCUCCCUCUCUCUCCCUCCCUCUCCUUCUUCUACUUUCUCCCUCUCUCUCCCUCUUCUCCCUCUCUCUCCCUCCCUCUCCUUCUUCUACUUUCUCCCUCUCUCUCCCCCUUCUCCCUCUCUCUCCCUCUCUCUCCCUCUCUCUCCCUCCCUCUCCUUCUUCUACUCCCCCUUCCCCUUCUUCCCCCUUUCUUCCUCUCUUCCACUCCCCUCUCUCCCC